RNAcentral lists this ribosomal RNA (254 nucleotides) under uncultured bacterium. Its description in RNAcentral is "partial 16S ribosomal RNA". It matches the Rfam family "Bacterial small subunit ribosomal RNA", at positions 524 to 776 of the family's 1533-position model. The record is from RNAcentral.
UACAGAGGGGGCGAGCGUUGUUCGGAUUUACUGGGCGUAAAGGGCGCGUAGGCGGUCAGCACAAGUCAGUUGUGAAAUCUCCGGGCUUAACUCGGAAAGGUCAACUGAUACUGUGCGACUAGAGUGCAGAAGGGGCAACUGGAAUUCUCGGUGUAGCGGUGAAAUGCGUAGAUAUCGAGAGGAACACCUGCGGCGAAGGCGGGUUGCUGGGCUGACACUGACGCUGAUGCGCGAAAGCCAGGGGAGCGAACGGG